Ipomoea nil (Japanese morning glory) is the source of this 643-nucleotide long non-coding RNA. RefSeq lists it as uncharacterized. The transcript has 4 exons. Lineage: Eukaryota; Viridiplantae; Streptophyta; Magnoliopsida; Solanales; Convolvulaceae. The record is from RefSeq and is a predicted model, not a curated record.
AUGAAUCUUGCAUUGUAGAUUAGAGAAUUGAAGGUGAAAUCUCCCUACUUUUUAUUCCAGAUUAGAGUAUUGCAGCCACCAGGCACUGUUUUACAAAAUUGAACAGGAGGAGGAUUUGAAUAUGAUGAUGAUGUCAAAAGGAAGAUUUGGUGGCAAUACAAGGUGUAUUCCUUUUAGGCUUAGAGAUACAGAGAAGUAGCGGUGGCAUGUCUGAGAAAAUCAUUGAAGUGCUUACGCUAAACUCAAUUAGUGGGCUUUGUCUUCUUUUCCGUAAAGGAAACAAUGCAAAUAAUUAAAGAACUUGGACAUUUUGGUGGGUUCUUAGAUACUGCAUUCUUGAAAACGACAUUAGUAGAAGAAUUUCAACAAAUGGAGAGUUGGUAUGCCAUUCUUCCCUCUCUAUUCUUGUUUUUUAAGAUUCCUAUCAUUGUUUUUGAAGCAUCACUAGGCAUUGUGACUCUAUAGGUAUUUGCUUGCAUUGUUCUCUCCUCACUAACAAUUAUUGUUGAGAGGGCAAGGUCUUAUGCUUGGAUAAUUGGUCUUUUUGCAUCCACAGAGUUGUCACUUCAACGAGCUAUUCUUCAUUUUGAAUGUUAAUAGAAUAUAUAUGUUGUUGUGUCUUUAGGUAUUUAAAUAUUUUGAG